RNAcentral lists this unclassified non-coding RNA (1072 nucleotides) under Hevea brasiliensis (rubber tree). The record is from RNAcentral. Lineage: Eukaryota; Viridiplantae; Streptophyta; Magnoliopsida; Malpighiales; Euphorbiaceae.
GUUACUUGAAUGAACUAUCAAGCAUAUGUUAAAACUGCAUCAUCCCCUCAGGCUCUUAAACAGCAAAGUGAAACUCACAAUCUUUCAAUUUCACAAUUUUCAACUUCUAAGAUAGUUGUUGAUUUAAACAAUUUUUCAGUUCCAAAAUCAAAAGAAUCAUAUGUGACGCACAAUCUCCAUUACCAAGGUCGAAUCAAGAAUUGAUCGUGAUAAAAACAAACAAAUUGAACUGAAGACAUCUUGUGACAGAAUGCAAAAAUCCCAUACAUUUGGAAUCAAGUUCCCUGAGGUCGGCCAAACUAAUCCACAAAGUGUUAAACUGUCAAAGAAGAUAAUCUUAUUUUGCAAAAAAAUUACCCACUUUUAAUAAAAGCAGAGAUCCCCAGCAAUUUUUUCAAGGGUAAUUUUCCAUUUUUGUUUUCAUUUUUCCAAAAUUAAGUUUCCCCACUAUAGAGAGAGAGAGAGAAGAGAAAAAGAAAAUACCCCAUAAAGUAGAAGUGGAGAAUACUUUCCCCGUUUAGCUUUCCCAACUAUUUCCCUCUUUUUGCCCAAAUGAAAAAAUAAACAAGAACUUUGUCUUCUUUUAUCAGCCUGGUAGUGCGGGGGAAAAAAAACUGGUUCACAUCACACCAUUGGAGGACAUAGAAGAAAGCUAAAAGAACACGGAACCUAGACAGUACAAUCAUUUUCCUUUUACUCAUCAUUUUCUCUAUUCCAGAUCCAAUGAUGCAACAAGAACAUCUGUUAUUUCCAUUUUAGACCUAUUUGUUUACUUGAGAAAUGUUGAGAAAGAAGGAAAGAAAAAAGAGAACUAAGGUAAAUCUAAUCAACCAUAACAUCAAGCUUCCAAAUUUAGACUUCUCCACCAGUUUCUCAUCAGCCAAACCGAGGGAGCAAAGCAGGGCUAAAAAACAAAAUAAAAUCAAAGAGUCAAAUUUGAGUAAAUUAACAUCCCCAAGAUCAGAAAUUGGAAAUCCCAUAAAAAUUUUAAUUAAAGAAAGAAGAUAAAAGCAUUUUCAAUUAGAUUUUCGCUGGAAGGGACACAUAUUUCCUUUACCUAUACCUCAUUUUU